RNAcentral lists this ribosomal RNA (467 nucleotides) under uncultured Oomycota. Its description in RNAcentral is "LSU rRNA". The stretch from base 1 to 82 matches the Rfam family "Bacterial large subunit ribosomal RNA", at positions 477 to 559 of the family's 2925-position model. The record is from RNAcentral. Lineage: Eukaryota; Oomycota.
UGCGAGACCGAUAGCGAACAAGUACCGUGAGGGAAAGAUGAAAAGAACUUUGAAAAGAGAGUUAAAGAGUACCUGAAACUGCUGAAAGGGAAGCGAAUCGUAUCCAGUGUCUAUAAUCUGCAGCAUAUUUCAUUGGCGGCUUUGUGCGUGCUAUUGUUUCGGAAGCGGCUUUUGUUGCUCUGUGCUUUGGUGUUGUGCGUUGCUGCUGGUGCCCUGUGUUGUGGUGGGACGUCAGAGUCAGUUCGUAUGCUGCGGGAAAUGGCCGCCGAGGAGGUAGGUCAGGACUUCGGUCUUGGCUGUUAUAUCUUGGUGGUUUGUUGUCGUGGUUGGGACUGAGGUGCCUACAAUGUGCUUUUGAGUGUGCUGGGUUCUCAUUUGGUGGACUGUUUGGAUAGCUUGCUAUGCUUGUGGUUUUUUCAUCGAGUGAUUGAGUCUGGUGGUAACUUGUUGCUGUUCGGGACUUUGAA